RNAcentral lists this ribosomal RNA (404 nucleotides) under Acidobacteriota bacterium. RNAcentral's name for it is "Acidobacteria bacterium partial 16S ribosomal RNA". It matches the Rfam family "Bacterial small subunit ribosomal RNA", at positions 355 to 776 of the family's 1533-position model. The record is from RNAcentral. Lineage: Bacteria; Pseudomonadati; Acidobacteriota.
UGGGGAAUAUUGCACAAUGGGGGAAACCCUGAUGCAGCGACGCCGCGUGAAGGAAGAAGUAUUUCGGUAUGUAAACUUCUAUCAGCAGGGAAGAAGAUGACGGUACCUGAGUAAGAAGCACCGGCUAAAUACGUGCCAGCAGCCGCCGUAAUACGUAUGGUGCAAGCGUUAUCCGGAUUUACUGGGUGUAAAGGGAGCGUAGACGGAUAGGCAAGUCUGGAGUGAAAACCCAGGGCUCAACUCUGGGACUGCUUUGGAAACUGCAGAUCUGGAGUGCCGGAGAGGUAAGCGGAAUUCCUAGUGUAGCGGUGAAAUGCGUAGAUAGUAGGAGGAACACCAGUGGCGAAGGCGGCUUACUGGACGGUGACUGACGUUGAGGCUCGAAAGCGUGGGGAGCAAACAGG